Non-coding RNA from Misgurnus anguillicaudatus (oriental weatherfish), 2100 nucleotides. Lineage: Eukaryota; Metazoa; Chordata; Actinopteri; Cypriniformes; Cobitidae. The record is from RefSeq and is a predicted model, not a curated record.
AUAGCAAAGUUUCUGGCACAAAUCUGGCUUACAUUGGGCAUUUAUGGCUAAAUUUAGGCUCUCUUUUGUUCACACCUUUGUGUGAAACAGCUUUCGGGGGAGUUGUGGGGUGAGGCUAGCCAGCCAAAAGCAAAAGGUACAUUUUUGGCUGAGUCCUGGCUUAAGUGUGGUCUGCCAGAAAAUAGUAAAUAUAUGGCAGAGUUCUGGCUAAGGUUUGGUUGGCCAAAGAGUAAAAAAACACCAAAUAAAAUCAUAUUUACAAUUGAUAAAAACAUCAAAUUUAAUAUUUAAGGCAAUAAUAAAUAUGUUUAUCCUUAUUAAAAGACGAAAUGUAGAAAAUGUUAUUUUGGGCAGUUAAUCCAAAGUUGUCAAUGUGCAAUUUACAAACAAUGCAAUAAACAGAUAAAUUAAUAAUUCAGUCUGCACUAAUAUACAUCAAACAAAAGUAUUUUAAGUAUGUGUGCUUGUUUAAGUCUUUUUAGUUUUGUAUUUUAUUUUUUAUAAAUAAAUAAGACUUUACAUUAAAUUGUGUUUACAAUUAAAAAAUACGACUAACUAAUACUAAUAUUUAUUGGUGCACUUUCGUUUCUAAAACAAUGACAUAUAUUGCAAUGCACCUUGGAAAUAGUAGUCAUUUAACCUCAGCAGCGUUCAAUCCGCCGUGGAAAAUGGACUACCUUUCCCAUAAUGCAACUGGUCAUGAUCAGGAACUUCCGCGAAAUUCAAACCCCCACUGUGUACUGGAUGAAGGACACGCGAUCGUUUGUCUUGUGGAGUUUUAUAUAACACAGUAAGAUGUCAUGUACCACACUUUGUCAACAAUAAAUGUUGUUUCUGCAAUCUGGAUAAAGAAUAAUGUGAGUAAAGAAUAAUAAUGAGGUUAAUAAACCUAACCGUUUAAAUAAUAAACAAAUGUGUAUGUGUUAAGAUGUUUGACUCCUCUAUUUAAUAUAUAUUACUGCCUCUUGGAGAACAGCCGGCCGUACUCCAGACAGAGACAAAGACGUGAGGACAUCUAUUGCUUUUGUAAAGGAAUUUUAUACCCAAGAGUUAUAAAUGUUGUCUUUAUUGUUUGUCUUAAUCUUUUAUUUGACAUUUUAACAAUAUAAAGUUUACUUAUACUUGUUUUUAUAUUUGUUUUUUGUUUGUAGAAGUCAUGUAUCACACUUUGUCAACAAUGCAUGUUGUUCUUGCAAUCUGGAUGAAGAAUAAUAUAUUACUGCCUCUUGGGAAAACAGCAGACUGUACUCCAGACAGAGACAAAGACAUGAGGACAUCCAUUGCUUUUAAGUCCUAUACCAGACUAUGUUGUUCCAGCUGUCUGGGUAAAGACUGAUACAUUACUGCCUCUUGGAGAACAGCAAACCAUUCUCCAGACAGAGACAAAGACAUGGACAUCAAAACAGAAAAUUAAGUACUUGAUCUUAGAUUGUUUGGAGUGAACGCUGGAAAAUAAUGAAGCAGGAAAUUAAAAUGCUUGACUAAAACAAUUUUUAGAAAUCCUUCUGGAACUCUGAAAUCUGCAAACAUAUUUUUUCCCAUGUCUUGAAUUGAAUGUUAAAAGUAUCAGUUCUUGGACUGGCAGUGUGUACUAUAUCAUUUUUUCCUUACUCUUAUUCAUUUUAUGUAAAUGUAUUUUCUAACUGUAUUUUAUGAUUUUUUCUGUAGGCUGUAAGAAGUCCUUUGUGUGCACAGACAUGACUGGAGAUUAAAGUUACUAAAUGUUGCUUUUUUUCUAGCUGGUGUCAUAACAUGGUAUUAUUUUCAAAUGUAUUUAUCUAAUUCACAUUUGCACAUCUGUAAACAUUCAUUUUAUAUAGGAUGUUUUUUAUAUUUAACCAGUUGUUGUAUAUUGCUUUCUGUUAUUACAUCUGUUUUUUUUUGCCUGUUUAUUGUUUAAAACAAUUAAGUUAAGUAAUUAACAAUUAAGUUAAUGUUUCUCUGUUAGCUUUUACUUUGGCUAUUUCUUUGUUUUUAUUUGAUCCUUCUACUGUUAUUUGUUUAUUUGGCUAUUUGGCAGAACAUUUGACAUUUCAUUUAUUUUGCUGUUAUCUGAAAUUAUCCUUGUCACCAUCAAUAAAACUCUCUAUAUUUGCUUUA